GAAGCAACGCGCAGAACCUUACCACCUUUUGACAUGCCUGGACCGCCAGAGAGAUCUGGCUUUCCCUUCGGGGACUAGGACGCAGGUGCUGCAUGGCUGCCGUCAGCUCGUGUCGUGAGAUGUUGGGUUAAGUCCCGCAACGAGCGCAACCCUCGCCAUUAGUUGCCAUCAUUUAGUUGGGAACUCUAAUGGGACUGCCGGUGCUAAGCCGGAGGAAGGUGGGGAUGACGUCAAGUCCUCAUGGCCCUUACAGGGUGGGCUACACACGUGCUACAAUGGCGACUACAGAGGGUUAAUCCUUAAAAGUCGUCUCAGUUCGGAUUGUCCUCUGCAACUCGAGGGCAUGAAGUUGGAAUCGCUAGUAAUCGCGGGUCAGCAUGCCGCGGUGAAUACGUUCCCGGGCCUUGUACACACCGCCCGUCACACCAUGGGAGUUGGUUCUACCCGAAGGCGCUGCGCUGACCGCAAGGAGGCAGGCGACCACGGUAGGGUCAGCGACUGGGGUGAAGUCGUAACAAGGUAGCCGUAGGGGAACCUGCGGCUGGA
This 546-nucleotide ribosomal RNA is filed under the name uncultured Brevundimonas sp. RNAcentral describes it as "bacterial SSU rRNA". It matches the Rfam family "Bacterial small subunit ribosomal RNA", at positions 953 to 1522 of the family's 1533-position model. Lineage: Bacteria; Pseudomonadati; Pseudomonadota; Alphaproteobacteria; Caulobacterales; Caulobacteraceae. The record is from RNAcentral.